Long non-coding RNA from Cyprinus carpio (common carp), 1031 nucleotides. The record is from Ensembl. Lineage: Eukaryota; Metazoa; Chordata; Actinopteri; Cypriniformes; Cyprinidae.
UAAAGAGCCAGUGCCAUUUAAAGCAACAGAGCCAAUCAUCGCCCUGGAUCUAGGACUCGAGAGCAUGACUGACCAGGUGUGUGAGCCGGCAACAUCGUGCGCCGUGGGAAUACUGGUGGAGAUCGAGGGCUUGGAGGGAAUCCCCACCCACACUCGCUGAGGGUGAGCUGCAACUGGUCACUGGACUAUACUAUGAGGAACUUAUGGACAUUUUCCAGAUGGAUUCAAUAGAUUGGUUUGGGGAGGCAUUACCCAGUUUUCCUGUGUCUCCGCUGGUUCCGCCCAGUCCUGUAUCUCCUGCGUCUCUGCUGGUUCCGCCCAGUUCCUCAACCCUAUCUCCGCUGGUGCCUGUCAGUCCCUCAGCUCACCCUCAAUCAGCGCCAUCUGGGCGCUCUGAUCUGCCUCGGGACUUCCAGUCUCCAGCUCCACCUUGGCAUGAGGAUCCCCUGUCUCCGCCUCCAGCCUCCGAGCCCUGGACUCCACCUCAGUCCUUCGACUCAUUGGCUCCGCCUUGGCUCUUAGCUCCCUGGUCUCCACCAUGGCCUGUCAUCCCACCAGCUCCACCGGGCUCCCUCGUCCCUCUGGCUCCACCUUGGUCAGUCGUCGACCAUCCACUGCCUUGGGACUCCACUCCUCUGGCUUCACCUGUCGCUCCUGCUCCACCGUGGUCUUCCGGAACCCCGCUGCCACCUCGGUCACCUGAGCCUUCUGCUCCGCCUUGGCCCUCUCAAUCCUCGGUGUCACACUGGCUCUGCGGCUGCUCUGCUCUAUUCUGGGCUCCUCAUCCAUCGGCUCAGUCUCCAUCAGUUGGCCCCCUGGUGUUGUCAGCUCCUUCUCCACCAUGGCUCCUCCCUCCGUCGACUCCACCGUGGACCGCUAUCCUGGCUGGCCUCUGGAGUUCCAUCUGGCUCCUCCUGAUCCAGGCUCCUCCCUCCAUCCACUCCACCCUGGCACUAUGGUCUAUGCUCCCUCUCCUUUGCCUGCCCCUUGCCUGCCCCCCGCCCGCCUCCUGAACCCCCACCCUCCCUCCU